This 75-nucleotide transfer RNA is filed under the name Nitrososphaerota archaeon. Its description in RNAcentral is "Thaumarchaeota archaeon tRNA-Arg". It matches the Rfam family "tRNA". Rfam says of the family: Transfer RNA (tRNA) molecules are approximately 80 nucleotides in length. Their secondary structure includes four short double-helical elements and three loops (D, anti-codon, and T loops). The record is from RNAcentral. Lineage: Archaea; Thermoproteati; Nitrososphaerota. RNAcentral also lists the same sequence under 1 other name.
GGGCCCGUAGCUCAGCUUGGAUAGAGUACCGGCCUUCUAAGCCGGGGGUCCGGGGUUCAAAUCCCCGCGGGCCCG